Long non-coding RNA from Suricata suricatta (meerkat), 2361 nucleotides. RefSeq lists it as uncharacterized. The transcript is spliced from 2 exons. The record is from RefSeq and is a predicted model, not a curated record. Lineage: Eukaryota; Metazoa; Chordata; Mammalia; Carnivora; Herpestidae.
UGUUGGCCAGUUGCAUCGAGGCCACCUGAAGGAUCCCCACCCUGACAACCAAAUGCCGCGUAUGAGAAUUCUUGGGAGCGGUCGGGUACUGUCGUCUCUGGGUUCUAGGGUUUGCAGAGAUCGCAAGCCCCUGUACAGCAGCUCUGGGGGACAGGGCACAGACCUGGUCUGGACGGAUGUUGAGCAAAAAGCUUUUGAGAAGCUUAAACAGGCCGUUACUUCGGCCCCAGCCCUGCCAGACCCCACCAAACCGUUCCAGUUAUUCAUCACAGAGACUAGGGGUAGCCAAGUGGGUCUUAACCCAAACUUUGGGUCCUUGGAAAAGGCCCAUAGCCUAGUUUCCAAAAAGGUUAGACCCUGUGGCAGCCAGAUAGUGAAACUGCAUGAGAGCAGUAGCCGCUACAGCCUUGUUGGUUAAGGAAGCAGCCAGAUGACUCUAGGACAGCACUUGCAGGUCAUAAGGGGACAUCUGGUAGAGGCUCUACUCAGAAGCCCCCUGGACCUCAAAUGCUUGAAUCACUCAGUUCCAGAUCCUUCUAUUAGAUCCCCCUCGUGUCCAGUUUUUAAAAACUGCUAUCUUAAACCUGGCUGCUUUGUUGCCGGAUGAUGACCUACAGGAGCCUCUCCAUGAGUGUUUAGAAAUUCUAGAGACUCCAACUAACUUGAGAGCUGACCUGACAGAUGAGCCCCUGCCAGAGGCAGCUCUGGAACUCUUCACAGACAGAAGUAGUUUCCUCGAUCAGGGGACCCGAAGGGCCAGAGCAGCAGUGACCACCCAGACAGAGGUCAUCUGGGCGCAAGCCCUCAACCAAGGUAUGUCGGCACAGCUGGCAAAAUUAAUUGCGUUAACCCAAGCCUAAGAUGAGCAAAAGGUAAAUCUUUCAAUAUAUACACUGACAGUAGCUAUGCCUUUGCCACUGCCCAUGUCCCCAGGGCUCUAUACCAAGAGCGUGGUCUCCUCACUUCAGGACAAAAGGACAUUAAAAACAAAGAAGAGAUCCAAGCACUCCUAGAGGCCAUAUGGCUACCAAAGCAGGUUGCAAUCAUCCACAGGUUGCAUCCCAACUCCUGUAAGACAUCAAAAGGAUGACACCCCAAUCAUCCUUGGAAAUACUUUGGAGGACCAGACUGCCCGAAAAGCUGCCUUAAGACCAGCGAGGCCCUUAGAAAUCUUACUGGUGCUACCAUAUCGACAGCUCCUCCACGACCCUAAAUAUAACAGCCAAGAAAAAUCCGUAAAGGAAAAAUUAAACUGUACUGAGGGGCCACAAGGCUGGUUAAUCCUCCCAGAUAAUAGAAGGCUACUUCCCGAGGUACUAGGAAGCUCCCUUAUUAAUCAAGUACAUCAAGGGACUCAUCUGGGAGCCACCAAAAUGUCCCAGCUAAUAUCCAGACAUUCGUAUGUCCUGUACCUUGACCAGCUAACAAACUCAGAACUUUCUAAAUGCAUAACCUGUAUUAGAAUCAAUGGGGGACUCAAGACUGUUGGCUCUCUUUAAGUCCUGCACCACCUUACUAUGUUGGAUUAGCUACUAACCAGACAAUUGGAUCCAACAGUGGAACGACCACCGACCUCACCCUCUCCGGAAAUGACCAGAACCUGCAGAAAAGCUUAACCAAGCCUUGUUUGACUCUGGGGGACUUACAAGGAAGAGGAACCUGUUUCUGCUAUGGCCUUCCUGAGGGAGGUCAAUCCCCCUAUCUGGACAAUUGCGACCAGACGCCAGCUUCCCUUAAAGGCCCCUGAAGGUUACUCAGCUUCACCCGGGAAAGGAUUCAGACGGUCAAACUUAACGGGGUUAAGCACCCUGUAUCGGCGACUACCCAGAUCUCCCGAAGAGGCUGAGUCAAGGACUUGAUUCUUAGCUAAGACCAGUGGGGAAUGUUAGAGAUCACCCUAACCCGGGGAAAAGAAAAGAAAAAGAACAAUAAGGACAUUGUUCGCAGUCUGCCAACUGCCAUGUCUGCUUCUGUACACGCCUGCUUGCUAAAUCUGUUUCGCAGGACUCUGCAGCAGGUAAUCACUCCCCUUUUUACUGCGAAAGUUCUUGCUUCUGUAAAACCGCUUGCUCCCCGCUCCCCUUGUGCUGUGAUUGUUUCUGAUGAGGUUUGAAAUGACCAAAGAACUCUAAAACCGAUAGGUUCCUGCCAAAAGUAGUGUGUGUGUGUAAAGAUACUGCUGGUUACUAUAAGGUGCUAGGACCUGUAACAGGCUGACUCAUAAAUGACAUACUUUGGCUCGCAGAACUCUUAAGAACCCCAUGCGCCGGCCCGGCGGCACGCUCUCUGAGUAGUUUCCACCACUCGGGAGGAGCCGUUUGGCCGAACUGAAAUAAACUGCAAUAAAGCUCCUGAAAAUUC